GCGGCCACGGCCACGGCCACGGCCACUCACGCACGCACACACACUCGCACACCCCCUGCGCAGGCACCUGGCUGCCCAGAGCUUGGCUGGUAACUUGUUGUGCGGAGCGAGCGAGCGGGCGGCGGCGGCGGCGGCGGCGGCAACGGCACCAUCCAGGCGGGCACCAUGGGCACGUCCGCGCGCUGGGCGCUCUGGCUGCUGCUCGCGCUGUGCUGGGCGCCCCGGGAAAGCCGCGCCACCGGAGCGGG
Molecule: non-coding RNA, 248 nt
Organism: Leptonychotes weddellii (Weddell seal)
Lineage: Eukaryota; Metazoa; Chordata; Mammalia; Carnivora; Phocidae
Source: RefSeq, a predicted model, not a curated record